GACGAACGCUGGCGGCGUGCUUAACACAUGCAAGUCGAACGGAAAGGCCCUGCUUUUGUGGGGUGCUCGAGUGGCGAACGGGUGAGUAACACGUGAGUAACCUGCCCUUGACUUUGGGAUAACUUCAGGAAACUGGGGCUAAUACCGGAUAGGAGCUCCUGCUGCAUGGUGGGGGUUGGAAAGUUUCGGCGGUUGGGGAUGGACUCGCGGCUUAUCAGCUUGUUGGUGGGGUAGUGGCUUACCAAGGCUUUGACGGGUAGCCGGCCUGAGAGGGUGACCGGCCUCAUUGGGACUGGGAUACGGCCCAGACUCCUACGGGAGGCAGCAGUGGGGAAUAUUGCACAAUGGGCGGAAGCCUGAUGCAGCAACGCCGCGUGCGGGAUGACGGCCUUCGGGUUGUAAACCGCUUUCGCCUGUGACGAAGCGUGAGUGACGGUAAUGGGUGAAGAAGCACCGGCUAACUACGUG
Molecule: ribosomal RNA, 468 nt
Filed under: uncultured bacterium
Lineage: Bacteria
Description: partial 16S ribosomal RNA
Rfam family: Bacterial small subunit ribosomal RNA
Source: RNAcentral